CCUACGGGGGGCAGCAGUGGGGGAUAUUGCACAAUGGGGGAAACCCUGAUGCGGCGACGCCGCGUGGGCGAAGAAGUAUUUCGGUAUGUAAAGCCCUAUCAGCAGGGAAGAAGAAAUGACGGUACCUGAGUAAGAAGCACCGGCUAAAUACGUGCCAGCAGCCGCGGUAAUACGUAUGGUGCAAGCGUUAUCCGGAAUUAUUGGGUGUAAAGGGUGCGUAGACGGAAGAACAAGUUGGUUGUGAAAUCCCUCGGCUCAACUGAGGAACUGCAACCAAAACUAUUCUCCUUGGGUGUCGGAGAGGA
Molecule: ribosomal RNA, 305 nt
Filed under: uncultured bacterium
Lineage: Bacteria
Description: bacterial SSU rRNA
Rfam family: Bacterial small subunit ribosomal RNA
Source: RNAcentral